RNAcentral lists this ribosomal RNA (770 nucleotides) under Leptolinea sp. enrichment culture clone Y223. RNAcentral describes it as "bacterial SSU rRNA". It matches the Rfam family "Bacterial small subunit ribosomal RNA", at positions 72 to 853 of the family's 1533-position model. The record is from RNAcentral. Lineage: Bacteria; Bacillati; Chloroflexota; Anaerolineae; Anaerolineales; Anaerolineaceae.
UUCUGUCUUCGGAUGGAGGUUUCCUAGUGGCGAACGGGUGAGUAACGCGUUGGUGACCUGCCCCGAAGUGGGGGAUAACAGUUCGAAAGGACUGCUAAUACCUCAUGUGAUCAGCUGGAUUAGAUGCCUACUGAUUAAAGGCGAAAGCCGCUUUGGGAGGGGCCUGCGUCCCAUCAGCUAGUUGGUAGGGUAAUGGCCUACCAAGGCGAUGACGGGUAGGGGACCUGAGAGGGUGGCCCCCCACACUGGCACUGAAACACGGGCCAGACACCUACGGGUGGCAGCAGUAGGGAAUAUUGGACAAUGGGCGAAAGCCUGAUCCAGCAACGCCGCGUGCGCGAUGACGGCCUUCGGGUUGUAAAGCGCUUUUAGAGGAGAUGAGAAAGGACAGUAUCCUCAGGAUAAGCCUCGGCGAACUACGUGCCAGCAGCCGCGGUAAAACGUAGGAGGCUAGCGUUAUCCGGAUUUAUUGGGCGUAAAGCGCGUGCAGGCGGUUUGAUAAGUUGGAUGUGAAAUCUCCCGGCUUAACUGGGAGCGGUCGUUCAAAACUAUCAGACUAGAGAAUGGGAGAGGAAGGUGGAAUUCCGGGUGUAGUGGUGAAAUGCGUAGAUAUCCGGAGGAACACCAGUGGCGAAAGCGGCCUUCUAGACCAUUUCUGACGCUAAGACGCGAAAGCUAGGGUGGCAAACGGGAUUAGAGACCCCGGUAGUCCUAGCCGUAAACGAUGUAGACUUGGCGUUGGCGGAGUUAAAUCUGCCAGUGCCGAAGCU